Long non-coding RNA from Antechinus flavipes (yellow-footed antechinus), 574 nucleotides. RefSeq lists it as uncharacterized. NCBI's taxonomy places the organism in Eukaryota, Metazoa, Chordata, Mammalia, Dasyuromorphia, Dasyuridae. The record is from RefSeq and is a predicted model, not a curated record. The transcript is spliced from 4 exons.
UCCUCAGAACAACUCUUCAAUGGAGCUACUAUUAUUACUCCCAUUUGAGAGAGAAGAAUAUUGAAGCAGAUCAGAGCAUGGGUGGUACCUAGAAGACUCUGGCCCUGUUCCCAGAGCUCUUUGCCCUCACAAAGUUGAAUCUGCACCUUCAGAAGUGUGACUUGCCUGCCCGAUGAGAUGUCAUUCCCUUGUGUAAGUUGGCCUUCUGGGAAAGUUAUAACACUUCCAGUCUGGUAAUGGGGAAGACACAAGGAAGGAAAGCCAUUUGUCUGGUACCGCCUCUCAUUUCUACUUUGUUCACUAUUAUCAAGCCAAGUCCCAGACUCAAUUAAGCAACCCUGAUUCCAAAAAUCUCUGCUCCUGGAGAAAUGCGUCAUGCAGCCCAUCAAGGGACAGAGGGAGAUGUGAACUAGAAGAAAAUAAAUGUUUGUUAAUUGCAGAAAGCACAAUUUAAUUAAAAAUAAAACUUUGUUCAUGGAUAAAUUGAUGCAAAAUGAAACUAAAAGAAUCAGGAGAUUGAUUUCCAUAAUGAUCAUAGUAAUGUAAAGAAAAAUUAAAGGCCAAUACUGCUAGA